GACGAACGCUGGCGGCGUGCCUAACACAUGCAAGUCGAACGUGAUCCAGGAAGUAGUUUACUACGACCUGGUGAAAGUGGCGGACGGGUGAGUAACGCGUGGGUAACCUGGCCUAUGGAAGGGGAUAGCCUCGGGAAACCGGGAUUAAUACCGUAUAUAGUUGGAUGAUCGCAUGAUCGACCAAUGAAAAAUUUAUUGCCAUAGGAUGGACCCGCGUCCCAUUAGCUAGUUGGUGAGAUAACAGCUCACCAAGGCGACGAUGGGUAGCCGGCCUGAGAGGGCGAACGGCCACACUGGGACUGAGACACGGCCCAGACUCCUACGGGAGGCAGCAGUGGGGAAUAUUGCGCAAUGGGGGAAACCCUGACGCAGCAACGCCGCGUGAAUGAUGAAGGUCUUCGGAUCGUAAAGUUCUGUCGAAGGGGAAGAAAGAAAUGACGGUACCCUUAGAGGAAGCCCCGGCUAACUACGUGCCAGCAGCCGCGGUAAUACGUAGGGGACAAGCGUUGUCCGGAUUUACUGGGCGUAAAGGGCACGCAGGCGGUUUUUUAAGUCAGAUGUGAAAGGUCCCGGCUCAACCGGGGAACGGCAUUUGAAACUGGAGAACUUGAGUAUUGGAGAGGCAAGUGGAAUUCCUAGUGUAGCGGUGAAAUGCGUAGAGAUUAGGAGGAACACCAGUGGCGAAGGCGGCUUGCUGGACAAAUACUGACGCUGAGGUGCGAAAGCGUGGGGAGCAAACA
Molecule: ribosomal RNA, 740 nt
Filed under: bacterium enrichment culture clone SB1-37
Lineage: Bacteria
Description: bacterial SSU rRNA
Rfam family: Bacterial small subunit ribosomal RNA
Source: RNAcentral